Fukomys damarensis (Damara mole-rat) is the source of this 640-nucleotide long non-coding RNA. RefSeq lists it as uncharacterized. Lineage: Eukaryota; Metazoa; Chordata; Mammalia; Rodentia; Bathyergidae. The record is from RefSeq and is a predicted model, not a curated record. The transcript is spliced from 3 exons.
GUUCUCAGCUGUAAUGAGGCUUAGAAUACAUUUAGAGAAAGAAGACUACCGUGGAUGGAAAACAUCAGAAACAGCACAAUGAAGGAGAAAUCCAUUCCAAUUCUCAAGUGAUCGGCAGAACUCUAGAUAGAGUGACAGAGGCACAUGUUAUUUUGAGAACAUGCUGACACCUAUAAUAUCAUGUCCUGCUUCAUUCAGUAAAAUGUGAAAGUCUGAGGAUCUUGGAGCUUUAAUGGAAGGGGACAGAUUUCUUCGAUUCAAUCUACCAGAUAGCCCCUGCCCCUGUCAUUCCGGCAAUAUGGCCUGAUUCUGCCUAAAACCUCACAGCAGCCUAGUGACUUAGAGUCAGAAUUGAGGUCGCGGGAGAAGCGGACCAUUCCGGAAUCUAUUUCAGAAAAGCAAACUUGGAGACUGGCAACCGUGAAGCUCCAGUGUGCUCCAGGCCUCUCAUGCUGAAGUGGUUCUGUUUGCAGCCAACUUUCUCUUUGGCUGGAACCUGAUGAAAAGCUGCAGGCCUCAUACCUGCUAUCAAGUUUAUAGAAUGAAGAGCUUUUGGACCUCUGCUGAUUAAAAAUAUAACGCUAACCUGCUAUAACCAACGAGCUCAUUUAACUGGAACAGAUUGAGGAUAAGAGUAAAC